RNAcentral lists this ribosomal RNA (421 nucleotides) under uncultured bacterium. RNAcentral describes it as "partial 16S ribosomal RNA". It matches the Rfam family "Bacterial small subunit ribosomal RNA", at positions 360 to 773 of the family's 1533-position model. The record is from RNAcentral.
AAUAUUGGACAAUGGGCGAAAGCCUGAUCCAGCCAUGCCGCGUGUGUGAAGAAGGUCUUCGGAUUGUAAAGCACUUUUGGCAGGGAAGAAAAGGCUCUGGUUAAUACCCGGAGCUGCUGACGGUACCUGCAGAAUAAGCACCGGCGAACUUCGUGCCAGCAGCCGCGGUAAUACGAAGGGUGAAAGCGUUAAUCGGAAUUACCGGACGUAAAGCGCGCGUAGGUGGUUCAGUAAGAUGGGUGUGAAAUCCCCGGGCUUAACCUGGGAACUGCUUUCAUAACUGCUGAGCUAGAGUACGGUAGAGGGUAGUGGAAUUUCCUGUGUAGCGGUGAAAUGCGUAGAUAUAGGAAGGAACACCAGUGGCGAAGGCGACUACCUGGACUGAUACUGACACUGAGGUGCGAAAGCGUGGGGAGCAAAC